GAAUUUGACGGUAAUUUAAUCUGUUCAGAGGAGCCUGUAUUUUAAUUGAUAAUCCACGAUAAAUUUUACCUUAAAUUUAAGUUUGUAUAUCUCUGUCUUAAGAAUGUUUUAUUAGAAAUAUUUUCUAUUUUUUAUCUUAAAAUUAUGUCAGGUCAAGGUGCAGUUUUUUAAGGGUUAUUAUGGGCUACAUUUAUUUUUUAAUAUUGGAUAAUGAAUUGAAUUAUUUAUUGGAAAUUGGAUUUGAUUGUAAUUUUUAUUAUAUUUUAUUUAUGAUAUUUGCCCUAGAUUAAGUACAUAUCGCCCGUCGCUCUUAUUAUUCAAGAUAAGAUAAGUCGUAACAAAGUAGGCUUAUCGGAAGAUGAGCCUGGAAUUAAUUCUAAUUGUGUUAUAGAACUAUUGUUAUUUACAUUAACAUAAUAUUUGUGCGAAUCAAAUCAAUUAGAUAUUUAUUAUUUUAAUAAUUAAGUUUAGGAAUUUUAUUAUUAAUAAAAAUAAUUUUUAUGUUAGUAAUGUUUAAUGAAUCUAUUUUUUUAUAUUUAUAGUUUAUAGUACUGUGAAGGAAUAUGUAUAUUGAUUAGUUUAAGGAAAUUUUUUUAUUGUACCUUUUGUAUCAGGGUUUAUUUAAUUUUUACAAUUAUUUAUUGUUAAUCCCGAAAUUAUAAGAGAUAAAUAUUAAUUUAAUUUAAUGUUACAAAAUUAUUUAUUAUUAAUAUUUAGGAGCUACAUGCUAUUCAUUUAUAAAUAUCUGGUUCUUUGAGAAUUGAAUUUAAUUCAUCUAUAAUAUAAUUAUUAAAAAAAAUUAAUUUAAUUUGAUUUUUAUAGAAAAUUUUAUGGGGAUAAGCUCUUAAAAUAUUUUAUAAAUUGUUUAUAUUUUAAAUUUGGUAGGAUUAAUAAUUUCUUUCAUUUAUGUUGUUAUAAUUAAUUUUAGUUUAAUUUUAAAUUUAAAUUGUUUUAAUUUUGUAUCAAAGUUUUUUAUUUAAUAAAAUAAUAAUAGGAAAAAUGAUAGAAUUAGUAUAAUGUUUAUUAUAUAAAUAGUAACUUGGCAAUUAUAAUAUUCACCUGUUUAACAAAAACAUGUCCUAAUGAUAUUUAUAUUAGGUCAGGCCUGCUCAGUGAUUUAUUUUAACAGCUGCAGUAAUUUGACUGUGCAAAGGUAGCAUAAUCAUUUGUCUUUUAAUUGAAGGCUGGUAUGAAUGGUUUGAUGAAAUAUUAACUUUCUUUUUAUAUAAUUUUUGAAUUUUAUUUUUGUGUGAAAAAGCAUAAAUAUUAUUGUAGGACGAGAAGACCCUAUAGAAUUUUAGUGUAAUUAAUUAUUAUUAUUAUUUUUGUUUAUUAUAAGUUUAUUAUAUUAUUUACAUUUUUGUUGGGGUGACAGAAAACUUUGUUUAACUUUUUCUUUUUAGUUUUUAUUUAUUUAUAUAUACAGGAUCCUAAAUAUAGAUUAUAAGAUUAAAUUACCU
This 1460-nucleotide ribosomal RNA is filed under the name Urochela luteovaria. Its description in RNAcentral is "partial 16S rRNA". Lineage: Eukaryota; Metazoa; Arthropoda; Insecta; Hemiptera; Urostylididae. The record is from RNAcentral.